GUGAGUUUGUUGUAUUGUGGUCCAUGGCUGUCACUUAUAUACUACAACUCAA
RNAcentral lists this microRNA precursor (52 nucleotides) under Ciona intestinalis (vase tunicate). RNAcentral's name for it is "microRNA cin-mir-4004 precursor". Lineage: Eukaryota; Metazoa; Chordata; Ascidiacea; Phlebobranchia; Cionidae. The record is from miRBase by way of RNAcentral.